UGGCACUAGUCAAAAUGACACUCAUUUGA
RNAcentral lists this non-coding RNA (29 nucleotides) under Rattus norvegicus (Norway rat). The record is from RNAcentral. Lineage: Eukaryota; Metazoa; Chordata; Mammalia; Rodentia; Muridae.